RNAcentral lists this ribosomal RNA (199 nucleotides) under Aurantiochytrium limacinum. Its description in RNAcentral is "partial Bacterial large subunit ribosomal RNA". It matches the Rfam family "Bacterial large subunit ribosomal RNA", at positions 595 to 796 of the family's 2925-position model. Lineage: Eukaryota; Bigyra; Thraustochytrida; Thraustochytriidae. The record is from RNAcentral.
GACGGCGUACCUUUUGUAUAAUGGGUCAGCGACUUAUAUUCUGUAGCAAGGUUAACCGAAUAGGGGAGCCGUAGGGAAACCGAGUCUUAACUGGGCGAAUAGUUGCAGGGUGUAGACCCGAAACCGGGCGAUCUAUCCAUGAGCAGGUUGAAGGUUGGGUAACACUAACUGGAGGACCGAACCCACUAAUGUUGAAAAA